Gopherus evgoodei (Goodes thornscrub tortoise) is the source of this 3932-nucleotide long non-coding RNA. RefSeq lists it as uncharacterized. Lineage: Eukaryota; Metazoa; Chordata; Testudines; Testudinidae. The record is from RefSeq and is a predicted model, not a curated record. The transcript has 4 exons.
UCCUCACUGCCUCCUUCCCGCUGCCUGUGGCUGGUGAGUCUCAGCCCCGCCGCCGCCUCCUCACUUCUCCUCAGUUCGCUCCGGAGUUCGCCUUAGUCCAGGCUGCGCUGGUAGCAGCGGCGGCGGCGGCAGGGGAGGGGGCAGGACACGCGGGGGGGAGGGGAAGGGACACGCGGGGGGGAGGGAGCAGGGGCGGGGCGGCCGUUAGUCAGGGAACAGCGGCGGCGCCACUUGGCGGAGCCAACCCGCGCCUCACUCGCACUCUCGGGACUUGGGGGGGCGGGGGGCGCAGCUCCCCAGGGCCGCUCUGACGGGAAUAAGGAGAGGCGGAGCCAGGAGGCCGCUCCGCGCUUCUCUUCUCCCCUCCACACGCACGUGAAGAGCUACGUGCGGCGCACGCGGAGAGGCUCGCGCUGUUCCCUCUGCGCGCGGCCCCGGCUCGCCUCGCCUCUUACAGGCACGCAUGAAAAACUCUUCAAAACAACAAACUCCUGUUACUUCAUUCCGCGAGGGGGCGGGGCUGAGUCACGUGCUACGGGGGAAGCCCCGAUGCUGCGCGUGCGCGUGCGCGACCGGGAGCCUCACACUCCGUUUCGAGAGAGUCGUCUGCCGCCGCCUCCUGCUGAGGAAUGGGGAGGGGCCGCAGGGCGCGUCAUGGGGCGGGGCGGGGCGGGGGGGGGGCUACGCGGUGCGCGAGGAGUAACGGCCGACGUUUACAGCGGCAGCGGUGGAGCAUUUCUGGAGAUGUUGUACAGCUGAUUUACAUUCAUGGAAGGUUGUAUUAAUCCUUUUUACCCUGCUCCAUUGUGGAUUUUAUAUAUACCCAUUAUCUCUCUGACUGUAGAUAUGAUUUCUGGGAACUCCACCAAUGAUAUUUCAGAAUGGGUGGAGAUCCCUGAGACAGAUUGACAGCAUUUAAGAUGAUUAGUAAUGGAGUCCUUUAAAGAGGCCUGUGUUAAAAUAAAAAAGGUUGAGGUCCAAAUCCUCAAAGGUAAUUAUUAGGCACCUACCUUCCCUUAAAAUCAAUGGGAGUUAGGUUCCUAAAUAACUUUGAUGACCUGGGCCUGAGGGGUUAUGUUAGUGUGGAAAAGAUUGCAUUAUGGAAAUCAAGUAAAUUUAAGAAAAAAAUUAUCUUCUCUGUGCCAGUUGGGUGGGUGUCAGCCAUUUUACUUAAGGUAUUUGUUUCUGUUUUGCCUUUUUAUUUUUUGGUUGGAGAACCCAUUAGGUGAAAGACAGCAAUUUACAUUAAGUCUCACCAUUUGGCUCUCCUGUGGCCUUGCUCUCAUAAUAACAAAAAAAGAUGCUGUGACCUGGUAGUUUCUGAUCAAUAGCUCAGCCAUGUGUGAAGCCAUUAUUUUCACCAUUUUACCAGCUUACACAAUUUAGAGGUCCUUGGAUCAUUUUGGAUAAGAAGGUUGUCUAAACACAGUGACUGUACCUCCCAAGUUCUUACAGAAUUUCUAAUUCUUAUUCACUAAUUUGAUUUCACAAUAGCACAUAAAGUAAGAACAUAGAAUUAAAUACUUACACAAUAAGCAUCUUUCUAUUUGUAAAAAAACUCAAAUUUAUAAAAUGACAUUUGUGGUGUAAGCGUGACUGCAUUAUAAGAGAAGUGAUUGGAAUAAUUCACUGAAAUCUCAGGGACAAAAACACUGUAUAAAUGCAAUAUUCACAUUCAUUCACAAUAUUUUUAUUAGGGAAACUAAAUAUUUUUCUUAUUUCUCAUAGGAAGGUUAUUGGGCCUCUUGUGAAUACUACCACAAGAUAUCAAUAGCAUAUGUUAGAUGUAACAGGCUUAAUAUUUAUACAUAUACAGAGACACUAAUUCUGAUUUGGUAUUACGGUAGAAUCAGGCCCAUCAUGUACAAUUUUUCAGCUGUGUGUCAAACAACAGUAAAAUGUAAGAUUUUUCUGUAUCCUCUAUGGGAAGGGGAUAGACCUUGAUCCUAAGUCUUUUCCAUCAUUAACUAUCAUCCAAAAAUUGUUUACAUACAUCCUGUUUGUCUAUUUAUGUCAAUUACUAAAUUCAGACAUCUGAUGUGCAUAGAGAGGGAGCAAACAAGCAGGUAGGCCAUUAGAGGAGCCAGCUACUCUCAAAAUAUGAGGCAUUUUGCUUCUCCUCCAGAAAAAUUACAUGAUGGAAGAAAACAUGCACAUCCUUUGCAAAGUUGGUCUGUUUGGUCCUGCGCAGAAAACAGCCAAGCAGUGAGACUGAGAUUGUAUUGACAAGAACAAGAUGAAUGACCCCCUGGAGACCAUGGGAUGCACACAUGGCUGUUGCAGACAAGGCCCGGCUCAUAAAAGUGGGACAGUAAUUCUACAAACUGUGGCAUAAGGACAGGCUGGUGGGAGGCUGUAAAAGGAGCAGGAACAAAUUGUGGGGCAGAUGAGCUAUGGAAGAAGAAAGAAGAGGAAAGUCCAGAACAUGGAGGGAAACUGUAUAGCAGGCCAGUCCCAAAGGCAGUAAAAGAAAAUCCCUUCAAAAGGGGGCAGCAUGUGCCUCCAAGAAGUAAGUAAACAAGAGUGAUGAGGCAUAGAGGAGUCCCAAUAUUGGGGCAGCAGGGACUGAACUGGACCCAGAAGAAACUCCUAAGGGCAAGAGGGAGGUUCCUGGUCAGUGAAAAUAGCUGCCUUAGGUGGGGAACGAGACCAAAAAUAGGCCCAAGCUAGGGAGCAGCCCUGUGGAAUGUGGGAAAUCAGUAAAAGACCUUAAUCAGGAGAAGAGCAGCUACCAGAAAAUGGCAGGAGCACAAAAGGAGCCAGUUAGUUGCAGCCACAGGAGCACCAAGUUAGGCAACCCACAGGGAGGGAGGAAAGGACAGUGUUUCCACCCCUAAUACUAUUAUUUUUUAUUUGUAUUUCAGGAGCACUCAGCCACCACAACUAAAAUCCAGAUCCCCAUAGUAGGAGAAAGUCUUUUCUGAUGUACUGAUAAUCUAACUAGACAAAGAGUGGGAAAAAAAAAUAUUAUUCCCAGUUGGGGAACUGUGGCACAGAAGGAAUAAAAGACUUACUCAUGGUAACACAGGAAGUCAUUGGCUGAGUCAGAAAUGGAACCCUCAUUCUACUGCAUCCCAGUCCAGGGCCUUAACAACAAGACCAGCCGUCUUCUCUGUAGUGCCUUCUCUGUAUGUCUCACCAGUUUUUGGCAAAGAAGGGUCAAUUCUGAGGAGCUGGAAACUCUUGUCUGGGCCAACAGAUUUCAGGUGUUAGUGAGAAGUUUGGUUUAGCUAACUUACACAGUACCAAUAUAGAGUUUGAAACACAAAUGCAGUGCAUAAGCUGUGCUUUCACUUCCUGUGGGAACCACCUGUGGCCACAGAUUCCAAACCUGUUAGCACCAUCUCUGCCUCCAAAAGAGAAAAUGCGCCAAUGCAGCAGAACAAAAAAAUCUUAAAAUAACAAUUUCAGAGAAUUUUGCAGCCAGGACCACAAAUUUGCCUAGUGAUCCCUUUCUGUGCUUGUGCUAGGAACAAGUUUUUCACCCUCCUGAAUCAAAAGUGCUGCAGUGAACUGAGAGUUUAGGACCAAAUUCUAUAUCCUUACUUAUGCAGAGUAAGAUUGUCAUUGAGACAGACUUAAAUAUAAAGAGCCAAAUCACAGUGCUAUGCAAGAUUACUUAAGUGAGUAAAGUUUACAGCAUGGCCUUGCCCUUUCUUGCUUGCCAAAUGAAGAACUUGAAGAAUCGAAGAAAGUGGUUUCCAUGGGACCAAGGAAUCUUGGUCAUACUCAGAAGCCAAAUGUAGUUAAGGCUGUAAAAAUUAUACAACACACAAAUCUGUAGAUCACUUUUACCUGUAUUCAUCCUUGACAACUAAAUUAUUAAAAUGAGUAGCCUUUUCUUUCAAUCUAAUUUUAAAUAUUGGCAUGUUUUAUCUUAAAUAAAUCAGGUACUCCUUGAAAAAUCUCAAAGAUUUUUCAUAAUUUGUAUA